Molecule: ribosomal RNA, 435 nt
Filed under: uncultured bacterium
Lineage: Bacteria
Description: bacterial SSU rRNA
Rfam family: Bacterial small subunit ribosomal RNA
Source: RNAcentral
GAUGAACGCUGGCGGCGUGCCUAAUACAUGCAAGUCGAGCGAACGGGUAAGGAGCUUGCUCCUUUGAAGUUAGCGGCGGACGGGUGAGUAACACGUGGGUAACCUACCUAUAAGACUGGAAUAACUUCGGGAAACCGGAGCUAAUGCCGGAUAACAUUUGGAACCGCAUGGUUCUAAAGUAAAAGAUGGUUUUGCUAUCACUUAUAGAUGGACCCGCGCCGUAUUAGCUAGUUGGUAAGGUAACGGCUUACCAAGGCAACGAUACGUAGCCGACCUGAGAGGGUGAUCGGCCACACUGGAACUGAGACACGGUCCAGACUCCUACGGGAGGCAGCAGUAGGGAAUCUUCCGCAAUGGACGAAAGUCUGACGGAGCAACGCCGCGUGAGUGAUGAAGGUUUUCGGAUCGUAAAACUCUGUUAUUAGGGAAGAACAA